AACGAACGCUGGCGGCAUGCCUAACACAUGCAAGUCGAACGAGACCUUCGGGUCUAGUGGCGCACGGGUGCGUAACGCGUGGGAACCUGCCCUUAGGUUCGGAAUAACUCCCCGAAAGGGGUGCUAAUACCGGAUAAUGUCUUCGGACCAAAGAUUUAUCGCCUUUGGAUGGGCCCGCGUUGGAUUAGCUAGUUGGUAGGGUAAAAGCCUAUCAAGGCGACGAUGCAUAGCUGGUCUGAGAGGAUGAUCAGCCACACUGGGACUGAGACACGGCCCAGACUCCUACGGGAGGCAGCAGUGGGGAAUAUUAAACAAUGGGCGAAAGACUGAUCCAGCAAUGCCACGUGAGUGAUGAAGGCCUUAGGGUUGUAAAGCUCUUUUACCCGGGAUGAUAAUGACAGUACCGAGAGAAUAAGCUCCGGCUAACUCCGUG
This 433-nucleotide ribosomal RNA is filed under the name uncultured bacterium. RNAcentral's name for it is "partial 16S ribosomal RNA". It matches the Rfam family "Bacterial small subunit ribosomal RNA", at positions 29 to 507 of the family's 1533-position model. The record is from RNAcentral.